Molecule: transfer RNA, 75 nt
Filed under: Ruminococcus sp.
Lineage: Bacteria; Bacillati; Bacillota; Clostridia; Eubacteriales; Oscillospiraceae
Also listed under: 3 other names
Description: tRNA-Glu
Rfam family: tRNA
About the family: Transfer RNA (tRNA) molecules are approximately 80 nucleotides in length. Their secondary structure includes four short double-helical elements and three loops (D, anti-codon, and T loops). Further hydrogen bonds mediate the characteristic L-shaped molecular structure. tRNAs have two regions of fundamental functional importance: the anti-codon, which is responsible for specific mRNA codon recognition, and the 3' end, to which the tRNAs corresponding amino acid is attached (by aminoacyl-tRNA synthetases). tRNAs cope with the degeneracy of the genetic code in two manners: having more than one tRNA (with a specific anti-codon) for a particular amino acid; and 'wobble' base-pairing, i.e. permitting non-standard base-pairing at the 3rd anti-codon position.
Source: RNAcentral
GGCCCGUUGGUCAAGUGGUUAAGACACCGCCCUUUCACGGCGGUAACAUGGGUCCGAAUCCCGUACGGGUCACCA